Molecule: transfer RNA, 80 nt
Filed under: Datura stramonium (jimsonweed)
Lineage: Eukaryota; Viridiplantae; Streptophyta; Magnoliopsida; Solanales; Solanaceae
Description: tRNA-Arg
Rfam family: tRNA
About the family: Transfer RNA (tRNA) molecules are approximately 80 nucleotides in length. Their secondary structure includes four short double-helical elements and three loops (D, anti-codon, and T loops).
Source: RNAcentral
GGGUGGGGCCUGUAGCUCAGAGGAUUAGAGCACGUGGCUACGAACUACGGUGUCGGGGGUUCUGAAUCCCUCCUCGCCCA